Molecule: unclassified non-coding RNA, 129 nt
Filed under: rhizosphere metagenome
Description: partial ribosomal RNA internal transcribed spacer region
Source: RNAcentral
GUAGGUGAACCUGCGGAAGGAUCAAUAUGGAGGAGAGUGAGUGAAGGGGGAUAAGUGGAAAAAAAGAGCUUUUUAUUCAAUCUACAACACACACACACACAACUCAUAACAAUGGAUCUCUGGGCUCUU